RNAcentral lists this ribosomal RNA (506 nucleotides) under uncultured bacterium. RNAcentral's name for it is "partial 16S ribosomal RNA". It matches the Rfam family "Bacterial small subunit ribosomal RNA", at positions 29 to 523 of the family's 1533-position model. The record is from RNAcentral.
AGUGAACGCUGGCGGUAGGCCUAACACAUGCAAGUCGAACGGCAGCACAGGAGAGCUUGCUCUCUGGGUGGCGAGUGGCGGACGGGUGAGGAAUACAUCGGAAUCUACUCUGUCGUGGGGGAUAACGUAGGGAAACUUACGCUAAUACCGCAUACGACCUACGGGUGAAAGCAGGGGACCUUCGGGCCUUGCGCGAUUGAAUGAGCCGAUGUCGGAUUAGCUAGUUGGCGGGGUAAAGGCCCACCAAGGCGACGAUCCGUAGCUGGUCUGAGAGGAUGAUCAGCCAUACUGGAACUGUGACACGGACCAGACUCCUACGGGAGGCAGCAGUGGGGAAUAUUGGACAAUGGGCGCAAGCCUGAUCCAGCCAUACCGCGUGGGUGAAGAAGGCCUUCGGGCUGUAAAGCCCUUUUGUUGGGAAAGAAAUCCAGCUGGCUAAUACCCGGUUGGGAUGACGGUACCCAAAGAAUAAGCACCGGCUAACUUCGUGCCAGCCGCCGCAGUAA